This is an RNA transcript of Chinchilla lanigera (long-tailed chinchilla), 1296 nucleotides long. RefSeq lists it as uncharacterized. The record is from RefSeq and is a predicted model, not a curated record. The transcript is spliced from 3 exons. NCBI's taxonomy places the organism in Eukaryota, Metazoa, Chordata, Mammalia, Rodentia, Chinchillidae.
AGCACCCGCGCCUAUCACCAUGUGCCCCACCAUAAUUGUGUGCUGCUGUGCAUGCCGUGGCGUGUGUGUGAACAGAGGCCCGGAGGGUACCUCGAUCUUUUGCAACUUCAGUCACCCCAGCUGCCACCAGGUGCCACUGGCGUGGUCUCCAUCCUGUGACCAGGGCACUGCACCAACUUUGACCUCCUGAAAAUGCUUUGCACCCAGGCCCCCUGGACCCCAAGAUCGGCCUUCAGUCCAGCCUGGACAGCCUCUCCUUGGCCUACUGCUCCCAGUGCCACCACCCCGCAGCCUGUAGUGCCAGGUCUCCCUCCAGGAUGCUGCCCCUGUUCUAUCAUCCUGCCCAGAGAAGCUGCAGAUUCACACUGUCCCACCCCCAUAACCCACCCCAUGCCCCACAUGUAAGAGGCCUUGUUUCUAAAUUGGACACAAGCAUAGAGUCUUGGAUUCUAAUAGACCAGAGUUGGAUUUUGUUGCUGAGCAGUGAAGGUCUGUCACUGGGAGAUGCUCCCAUCUGAGAUAUGAUUAUUUUGCACCACCAGGAUGUGCACCCUGGUAGAUGCCAGGCAUGGAUGGAUGGCAGGCCACUGCUCCCGCCUGUCUUCAUCUGUCACCAAGGGCUGGUAAACAUGGAUGUUAAUGUCAAAUCCUGUAUCAAAAAGGAAAAAACACCCAAGUUGUUGGAAUACAGAUACAAUCAUGGGUCUUGUUCACUAAGUGUUUGUAAGAAAAGUGUGUGAAUUUCUCUUGGUCUCUAUUUGUGGCUACUCAAAUCCUGAAUGCAUCCCAGAAGGAGGGGAGCCCUUUCUGGAAGAGAGAUGUCUCUUUCCAGAGAUGCAGUGCUAUCUCAAGUUCAGGGGAUUUCAGCAGAUCCCUUGCACUUCACCAGAGCAGGGAAACUUUCUUUUGGCUUUGUCCUCAGAAAAAGAAGAGCCCUGACAGUGGUGUGUAGCAUAGAGCAUCCUACCACCCAGCACACGCACCACUGUCCGCCUGACCACCCAGGAGCGGGGCACGUGGGCAGGGAACGGGACAAGGAGCCUUGAGGACCUCAGGAGGGUCCCCAGGGGGCCAGAUCCAGCCUGCCCAGUUGUUCCUAAUCCAUCCUGAGAGUUCAUUAGAGGGCACCUCCCAUCCGCCCCAUGCCCCUGCAGGCAACCUUCAGCUUUGCAGGUGAAUUUCUGUCAAGUUCACACAAGCAGAAAAAGGCCAGGCUUUGAACUUGACUCAGCACGGGUUUAACAGGAUGGGCAGUGAUGACCACACUGUUCCCACCUUUGCAAAGUGACUGGGCUU